UACGUAGGGGGCAAGCGUUAUCCGGAUUUACUGGGUGUAAAGGGAGCGCAGGCGGCGUGGCAAGUCAGAUGUGAAAACCCAGGGCUCAACCUUGGGACUGCUUUUGAAACUGAGUAGCUAGAGUGCAGGAGAGGUAAGCGGAAUUCCUAGUGUAGCGGUGAAAUGCGUAGAUAUUAGGAGGAACACCAGUGGCGAAGGCGGCUUACUGGACAGUAACUGACGUUGAGGCUCGAAAGCGUAGGGAGCAAACAGG
RNAcentral lists this ribosomal RNA (253 nucleotides) under uncultured Lachnospiraceae bacterium. Its description in RNAcentral is "partial 16S ribosomal RNA". It matches the Rfam family "Bacterial small subunit ribosomal RNA", at positions 524 to 776 of the family's 1533-position model. The record is from RNAcentral. Lineage: Bacteria; Bacillati; Bacillota; Clostridia; Lachnospirales; Lachnospiraceae.